AUUGAACGCUGGCGGCAUGCCUUACACAUGCAAGUCGAACGGCAGCACGGAGCUUGCUCUGGUGGCGAGUGGCGAACGGGUGAGUAAUAUAUCGGAACGUACCCUAGAGUGGGGGAUAACGUAGCGAAAGUUACGCUAAUACCGCAUACGAUCUAAGGAUGAAAGUGGGGGAUCGCAAGACCUCAUGCUCGUGGAGCGGCCGAUAUCUGAUUAGCUAGUUGGUAGGGUAAAAGCCUACCAAGGCAUCGAUCAGUAGCUGGUCUGAGAGGACGACCAGCCACACUGGAACUGAGACACGGUCCAGACUCCUACGGGAGGCAGCAGUGGGGAAUUUUGGACAAUGGGCGAAAGCCUGAUCCAGCAAUGCCGCGUGAGUGAAGAAGGCCUUCGGGUUGUAAAGCUCUUUUGUCAGGGAAGAAACGGUGAGAGCUAAUAUCUCUUGCUAAUGACGGUACUGAAGA
RNAcentral lists this ribosomal RNA (461 nucleotides) under Burkholderiaceae bacterium oral taxon D14. RNAcentral describes it as "bacterial SSU rRNA". It matches the Rfam family "Bacterial small subunit ribosomal RNA", at positions 30 to 485 of the family's 1533-position model. Lineage: Bacteria; Pseudomonadati; Pseudomonadota; Betaproteobacteria; Burkholderiales; Burkholderiaceae. The record is from RNAcentral.